GAUGAACGCUGGCGGCGUGCCUAAUACAUGCAAGUCGAGCGAACGGACGAGAAGCUUGCUUCUCUGAUGUUAGCGGCGGACGGGUGAGUAACACGUGGAUAACCUACCUAUAAGACUGGGAUAACUUCGGGAAACCGGAGCUAAUACCGGAUAAUAUUUUGAACCGCAUGGUUCAAAAGUGAAAGACGGUCUUGCUGUCACUUAUAGAUGGAUCCGCGCUGCAUUAGCUAGUUGGUAAGGUAACGGCUUACCAAGGCAACGAUGCAUAGCCGACCUGAGAGGGUGAUCGGCCACACUGGAACUGAGACACGGUCCAGACUCCUACGGGAGGCAGCAGUAGGGAAUCUUCCGCAAUGGGCGAAAGCCUGACGGAGCAACGCCGCGUGAGUGAUGAAGGUCUUCGGAUCGCAAAACUCUGUUAUUAGGGAAGAACAUAUGUGUAAGUAACUGUGCACAUCUUGACGGUACCUAAUCAGAAAGCCACGGCUAACUACGU
RNAcentral lists this ribosomal RNA (496 nucleotides) under uncultured bacterium. RNAcentral's name for it is "partial 16S ribosomal RNA". It matches the Rfam family "Bacterial small subunit ribosomal RNA", at positions 28 to 506 of the family's 1533-position model. The record is from RNAcentral.